AUUUAGGAUUUGAUUUAGGGUCUGAUUUAGGAUUAGGAUUUGGUUUAGGAUUUAGGAUUUGGUUAAGAUUUGAUUUAAGAUUUAAGAUUUGAUUAGGGUUUGAUUUAGGGUUAGGAUUUGUUUAGGAUUUGGUUUAGGAUUUAAAGUUUGGUUUAGGGUUGGAUAGGAUUUGAUUUAGGGUUUAGAGUUUGGUUAGGAUUUGAUUUAGGAUUUGUUUAGGAUUUGGUUUAGGAUUUAAGAUUUGAUUAGGAUUUGGUCAGGAUUUGAUUUAGGGUUUAGGAUUUUAUUUGAGUUUAUUAAGGAUUUAAGAUUUAAUUAGGUUUUGGCCUAAAGUUUAAAUGAAGUCCAAUAGGAUUUCAACUAGGAUUAAAUUAAGAUUGAAUUGAGAUGUAUUUGAGAUAUAUUUUUAAUCAUUCUAAUAUUUUUUUAAGAUUUCUUAUUAUUUCUUUGUAAUUCUUUUGAGUUUUCUUUGAAUUUGAUUAAAGCUUGCUUAACAUUGUUAUGGUCUAAUUGGAGUUUAAUUAGUAUU
RNAcentral lists this long non-coding RNA (529 nucleotides) under Physcomitrium patens. RNAcentral's name for it is "long non-coding RNA (PPAT_LNC005947)". Lineage: Eukaryota; Viridiplantae; Streptophyta; Bryopsida; Funariales; Funariaceae. The record is from RNAcentral.